RNAcentral lists this long non-coding RNA (252 nucleotides) under Mytilus galloprovincialis (Mediterranean mussel). Lineage: Eukaryota; Metazoa; Mollusca; Bivalvia; Mytilida; Mytilidae. The record is from RNAcentral.
GCGGGCCUCAAGGGAUUACAAAUCGAAAAUAAAUGCUAAAUAUGUUAGGUUUUGUGUCUUUCAAAACACAAACAAUAUACAGAAUUAACUGCAGGAUAAAGACAAUAACUGUUUUGUGUCUUUAAAUAUCAGCUGCAUUUGUACUCGGCUCGAAACAGGUGUAAUAGCUCGCUAAAAGCUCGCAUACACCUUGUUUCCUAGCCUCGUACAAAUACAGCUGAUAUUUAAAGACACUAAACAGUUAUUGUCUAU